Molecule: long non-coding RNA, 40082 nt
Filed under: Ananas comosus (pineapple)
Lineage: Eukaryota; Viridiplantae; Streptophyta; Magnoliopsida; Poales; Bromeliaceae
Description: long non-coding RNA (ACOM_LNC026885)
Source: RNAcentral
AUAAAUGUAAUUGUCUUUGCUAAUCAUAGCGCACGUUAUAUUCCGGUUCGAGUUUUCGUGGUUGUUUGCCCUAGCUUCUGAAAAGUUAUUUUAGGUCAAAAAGUAAUUUUUAGCUCAAUAGAAUGUUUGGCGAUCUCGUUUUUAAAAUCUGAUUCUAAUUUUUAGAAUCGGUUUUUGAUUUUCGAGGCCCAAAAUCAUAAGCAGCUAAACCUAUUUCUUGAAAAUUGAUUCUGAUUUUGGUUCCAAACUUCAAGUUUUUACUUUGAUUUUGGAUUCAAAUUUUAAUUUUAAAUUCACAUUUUAAUUUUAAAUUCUAAAUUUAUACUUAAAUUUUUAAAUUUGAAAUUUUAACUUUUGAAUUUCAAAAUUCAAAAUUUAAAAUUUCAAUCUAAAAUAUUAAAUUUCAAGUUCAAAUUUCAAAUCUCAAAUUUUAAAUUUUAAAUGUCAAAUUUUAAAUUUAAUAUAAAUUUUAAAAUUUAAAAUUAAAACUUAAAACUUAAAACUAAAAAUUUAAAAUUUAAAAUUUAAGUUUUAAGUUUUGAGUUUUAAAUUUGAAGUUUUAAAUUUCAAUUUAAUUUAAAUUUAAAUUUUAAAUUUUAAAUUUGAAACUAAAAGUUUAAAUUUAGAUUUAACAAAUUAAAUUUAGAUUUAACAAUUUAAAUUUUAAAUUUUAUAUUUUCAAAUUUCAUAUUUUAAAUUAAGAUAUCAAAUUUUAAAUUUUUGUGCCAAUUUUAAAUUUUAAUUUUAAUUGAAAUUUUAAAUUAUUUAAAAUAAAGUUUAGUACAAAAAAUAUUAUAUGCAAGCAUUAAAAAUUUUUGCCAAACAGUUUUACACAAUCACUUCUGAAAAAUUAUUUUUAUCUAAACUCAGCCAAAUACUUUACAAUUUUUAAUAAAAAUAAAAUUAAUUUUUUAAAAAUUAUUUUUUCAGAAUCUAAUCCAAAAGAAUCCUUAAUCCGAUGCAUGUUUGAGUUUAAAUCCGACUCAUAGCAUAGGACUCGAGGCAGUUUGGAAUUGGAUCAGAUUACAUAAUCAUAAAACUAAACCAACAACACUCGAGUCAAUCUUAGCCCUCCAAUUUUGCUUGGACGGCACGAAUCCUCCCUUUUCUUUGACGUAUAUAUUAGUGGGGUGAAAACCCUAGACCGCAACGAAACCCUCCUUUCCGCUCAACCCUAACCGGCUUAACCCCGCGAGUCCCCCCUUAUCCCCGAAAGAGACUGGGGUUUUCUCCCACCGCCGAACUCCUCGUCGUCGUCGUCUUCCUCCUCGGAUUCGCUCCCUCGAAGAUCGCCGCCAUUAACGGCGUAGCGAAGCCCUCCUACCCGUAGGGUUUCUCGCGUCGGAUUCCUGAACCUUGCACUAACUCUCUUCGCGGAAGCUUUUCGACGCCUCUCGAUCCGUCUCUUGUAAGAUCCGGUUCUUUACUGUUUUCGUAUGCUCGAUGGCUUGUUCCCCGCCAGUUUUGAGAAUUUUGGGAGAAAUUUCGGUUUUUCUUGUGCAAUUUAUGAUCCGCUAAUUUUUCGUAUUAUUUUUUUAUGGAAUAGCGAUUUAUCAUUUCUCAUAAUUUUUAGUUGGCCCUAGUUCACAUUUUUCUCUGGAUAGUUCCAUUCUCUUUGUUGCAAAAGUUUGGAGUAUCUAGAAUAGUGUUAGAAUUCUUUGGUUGUUAAGAUAUUGCUCAGUUAGCACUUAGGUCGAUUUUAGUCCUCAAUUUAUUUUUAGUAAUUGCUGAAAUGUUUGGCCAGAUUCAAUUUAAACAUUUUUCUUCACUUGGAUGUAGUUAUAAUUCGUAAAAUUUGUGAUGGCAAUUGUUGAAACAAGCUGGUAGUGUGGCAAAUUAGGUUGUAGUUUGUUUGAAGAAAUUGAUACUUUUAAUAGCGAUCUAACAAGGUUGCCUUCGCCACAGUUAUUUGGUGGUCUUUGCCGUUUGGAAUGCUGUCGAAGUGUUUAAUGUUGCAUUCUUGUGUUUAUUUGCAUGUUCAUGGAGUUUAUGUAGUUCACAGAGAGUCUAGCUAUGAGUAUGUUGUUUUCUCUUUCAGACUUGUUUAGUGCAUCAAUUUCUGCAAAGAUGUCGCGUAAAGGUUUGAUGGAGCAGGAUUUAAGCAAGCUUGACGUGACAAAACUGCAUCCGUUGUCUCCGGAAGUUAUUUCACGUCAAGCAACGAUAAAUAUUGGUAAUUUUUCUAUUUAUACAUACUCUGAUUGCUUGUCAUUUAAUAAUUUAGCAGGGCUAUAUAGGUGUUUGGAAUGUUUCUGCCAGUUUUUUAAGAUGCUAACCAAGAAAAUAUUAGAUGGUCAACCAGAAUAAUUGGAACCCAUGCAUGGCAUAUUGCAAUAAUAAUAUGAGUACAUUGUGGGAGUACAAAAAAGUUAUGUUUCUGAUCAACCAGUGAAUUUCUGUUCUUAAUUCUUAAAGUUAUAAAUUUGCUAGAAGCUAGCAAAUUGGGAGGUGAAAUGUUUAGGACAAGAAGCGUCGUUACUCUCGGUUGAUUUUUUGCCACUGUAGUUUUGCCACUGUAGUUUUUCUGCUCCUGAAAACCGAUCUUCUUUUCCACAAAAUAAACUGUCUUUAUAUUAUUUUCCUCCUAACUCCUUAUUUGAAUUUUUUAUGCAGUCAUCAUCAUUUUCUAUUACGAAGAUAUCUUUGAUCAACUAUUGUGAAGAAGAAUUGGUCGAACAUAAUUUUGUGUCUAAAGGUUUUCCCAAGUAAUGAACACCUUAAAGUGUUUUUCUAUCUCACGAAACUCAUGUUCCUUGAUUUUUGUCAUCUCAAUACAUAGAAGAAAAGAACUUUUUUAUCUGCUUGUAUUGUAAUUUUUGGUGUGCAUUUAAUGUAUUUUCAAUACAGUGGAAAUUGUAAGUUAGUGCCCGAUUAUUUUCUUCUAGAAGUUGGACUGAAAAAUGUUGUAUGGAGUUUCUUUCUUUGUAUUCUUGCUGGGUAUGGAAAAUUUUUCUUUCGGUGAGCAUUUAAUUAGCUGCUAAAUGAUCUGUUGUUUCGUUGUAAUUAAUGAAAGUCGUAAAGAUGGUACAUUUGAGGUGCACUGGUUGAAUAUCUUUUAGCCUAAGAGGGAUUAUAGGCUAAUAUUUGUGUUCUUUCUUUUCAACUUAGGAUUAAGUGGUUACUUGUAAAUUGUGUUCAAUGCACAAAUAUUUAAAUUUUUCCCAUCAUGUUCUUCACAUGGUUUAUUGAGAAAGUUGCAGACGAUAUUUUUUUGUCAGAAACCAUCGACCAGCUAUCAUGUCUCUUUAAUUGGUGUAAUAUUCUAUCAAUGAUCUUCUUGUACUAGGAUGAUCACUUUUGUUGAGUGAGUCUGGACUAUGUUGGCUGAUAUAGUAGGCCAGAGUGUGUUUUGACUUUCAAGUGAUCACUUUUGUGUUGCCUACUCAAUGUAGAAGCAUUACGUUCUCCAAAAAGGAGAUUUCUACUCUACUUUACCUGCGGUAAUUACUAAUCGUUGGCAUAUGCUUCUAUGCCAAAAUUGGACGGCACAAAGUGAGUUGGGCGUGUUAGUUGCAUGUGGCUGUCUAGAUUUUUGUACAAGAAAAACUGUACUAACCUUCAAAAGACUUGUUAUGGUUAUGCAAUUUGUGGUUGAUGGGUACAUGUAUGCUCUUUUCUAUGGUGGUUUAUUUGUGUAGAUCUAUUUGGAGACAAGAAUAAUACUAUAUUAUAAUUUUCUUUAACCUUUAUCUAGACUUAAAAGUCGUAUGUUCUUAUGGCAUAUGUAUAAUGAAAGUGGUACAAUUAGUUUAAUUAGUUUGUGAAGCAGUGUCAUGAGAUCUAAAAGCAUUAAUGUAACUUGUGUAAAUAAUGCUCUUGCAUUAAUGUAACUUGUGUAAAUUUCUGUUGGAUGCUUUCAUUAUGCUUUUAGUGGUUUAACUAGCUUGAAUUUUAGUGGUGGUUUUUGUUAGUAGCUAUCACCUUUUGGUGUCCUGUGUUUCGCUCCGAUGCAAUUUCUAUCGUUAUUACUUGGGUUUGAUUCUUCCUACGUUAAAUGAAUAGGUACCAUUGGUCACGUGGCCCAUGGAAAAUCUACUGUCGUAAAAGCCAUAUCCGGUGUCCAGGUACUAUUGCAUUUAUUUUGGUGACAAUCUUUUGAUCUUUUUUUUUUUUAAUUAACACUUGAGGCUCCUUCUGCUAGGGGUGUGUUUGUUUCACUGAAAGUGGAGGGGUGAAGUGGUUUCGGCUGAAAAUGCCCACUUCUGUUGUUUGGUUACCGUAACUUUACCUUCAGCGGAAACUCAAAACUCCCCAAAAUAGUGCAAUUGACUUUGGCUCACUCCAAGGCCAAAGUCAAUUAUGGGGGGGGAAGUGAGGAAAAAAUAAUAAAAUAUUAACCCAUCUCUCACACCUUCAGCUUUUACGCUAUUCCCUUCUUGCCAAACAAACAAUAGAACUGGGGAACUUUAGUUCCCCAGCUAUACAAACAAACAGCGGAGUAGUUUUCAUCGGAACUCUAGUUCACCCGAAAGUCUACUUCAAUUUGAACUUAACGAAACAGGCCCUAGGUGCAUUCUUGUGAUUUGGACAUAAUCUUUUACUAAAAAAGUAAUUUUAGUUGCAUGUCAACUAAGAUGCAAAUAUGAGUUGUUCGAUUUGAUCAAAGAACAAAAUAUCAGAUAUCUAUAGAUUCACUUUAACAUUUUACAGGAGGUCCAUUAUUUAACUUUCAGUAUUUCUCAAAUGAGGUAAUUGAUGAAAAGUUUCUUGUCAGAUCUUGCAUGUGGAGAACUAUGAUCAAGAAAUAUUUUUUCCCCUUUUUUUUUCUUUGAUAUUUCUGGACUUUGUGCCCUUAGGUUGGGUUUUCUUGGUGGAUAGAUCGCCGGAGAUAGGUAGGCUUCCACACUACCUGAUCAAACAGAAUGUCAAUAGGUACUACUCCAAGCUAGAGUUUGCUAGGUUAAAUAUCCCAUGGCAGCUUUACCUACGAGGUAGAAGUUCUAUGAGGUAUAAUGGAAUUUGAAAUCCUCAUGUGUAAGACAUUUUGCACAGGUAAUCUGCUUUAUUCCCAACCAAACAUAGUGGGGGUAAAGGAUAGAACUGAAAUGCUCUAGAAGAAUACUUUUCACUAUCCCCACGAUAGAAGCCCCUCCAAAAAAUACUUUAGAUAUUUUCCAUGUUACAUGUAUUAGUUUGUCAUGAUAAGAUGGGGUAAUUAAGUGCCUAUUACUGUAUCACUUUUUCACUGAAGAUUUGAGAAUAUCGAGGCAGUGCCUUGGUUGAAAUACAAGUGAGAGAAAGAUGAAAAGUGUAUAAAAGGCUUUAGCAAGAAUGGGAAUGCGGAAAUCUGUAGUGGCACUAGCAAAAUAUAACGGAUGAUUCAUGGUUACCCAUUUCUUGGGCAAAUCCAUGAAGUUGAUGAUAUGAUGUUCAAUGGAUAUUGGAAUGGCAUAAUUAUAUAUAGAUUUAUAUACACAUCCAUUUAAAACAGACACAUAUAUGAAUAAAGAUAGAACUAAUCACAUUCAUCACGCAGUGCUUGCAAACAUGCAUACGCACAUGAUAAACAUGCAUGUCCGUAAAGAAAAUAUUCUUGCUACAGGCUAGUUUUUAGUUUUGAUCGAGUAACAAUGUUGCAACUUAUGUUAGUGUAUAUACCUACACAAGCAUCUCCAGUUUCUUCAGCAACAAAAGCUAAAUUGUCAUGAUAAAUUGACUCUAAUUUUCAAUUAGCUUUAUGAUUGUUAUUAUUUGUUGAUAUUUUGACCCUCUUUUGAAACUGUCUGAUAAAUAAUCCUAAAAAUAUAUUGACGGUAACCAGAUUUUUCAUUUUUUUCUGAUUGGAUAAAUAAAGCAGUAGCCAAUAGGUUUGCAUGAACUAUCCUACAAGUAUUGUAAGGUAUGCAAUAUGGAAACUGUUAGAGUAUCGAAGUAUUUGUGUAUCAUAAGGAGAUCUUCUUGAGCUGGUAAAAGUUCUAUUAUUGGCUGAGUGGAUUUCUUACCAAAAUGUUUGGUAAGUUUUGUUCAUUACCCUCUCUCCUCUUAGAUAUCUAACGUGGAUGAGUACAUGUAGCCUGAGAACGUAUCUCCUGCAUUUUUUCUGAGAGCUACCAACUACAUGUUCCUUUCAAACAUUGUGUUAUUAUAGUUUUUAAGUUAUGAUUGGUUCAUAGAACCCAUAAAACCAACUGAAUAGCUAGGCCAAGUUUCCUUGGUAGUUGGCAUAAUUUGUUAGUAAAAGCAUGUCUUGUUGCAUAAUUAUAUGGCUAUUUGCCUCCACCAUAUUGAUAAAAAGUCUUUCAUGUACUCCUUUUUCUCUAAUCUAUUUGAGGUUGCAUAAUUACGCUGCUAUUUGGAACUCAUAUUAAUAAAAUUGUGUUUUAUAUACUUUUUUUUCUGCUAAUUUAACUAAAUCUUGUUUCCACAUUCCUUACUUAGCCUUUUUUUUUGUGUUGCUUCCAGACAGUUCGCUUCAAAAAUGAGUUGGAGCGUAAUAUCACUAUUAAAUUGGGGUAUGCCAAUGCAAAAAUAUAUAAAUGUGAAGAUGAAAGAUGUCCUCGACCAAUGUGCUACAAGUAUGGUUACUGUCUAGGCUUCUGCACAAUAUUACUGCUAUAUCAGCAUUUUAGUACCGCAUUCUUUUGUAUUUGCUAGAUUAUAUAUAUGCAUUGAUAUGUGGAAUUUUAAUAUUACAAAAUAGAACGGGUAAAACAUGAGGAAGAUAAAGUAAGAAAUGCCAUACACAAACCAUGAGAUCUCUGUGAGAUCUUUUCAUGUUGACUACCUUGUCUUUAGAAUUCUUGUUAAAAGCCUUCUCAAUUCGUGUGGAGCGUUUUGCUUUUUCACUGUUGACAAGUUUAAUUUGUACUGUAUGCAGGGCUUACGGAAGUGGAAAAGAAGACAGUCCUCUCUGUGAUGUCCCAGGAUUUGAAAACACCAGAAUGAAGCUUUUGAGACAUGUUUCAUUCGUUGACUGUCCGGUAUGACAUCAUGUUGCUUUUUUUUUUUGCAGUUGAACUGAUCUCUUUAGUUUAAAAUGUUCUUUCAAAAUUAUUGUGCUAAUAAGAUGUGUCAUCUGGCCAUAUAUCACAUAUAUAUGUUGGUCAGAUUUGCUGUUUUGAUUUAAGUUCAGCCAACGGCUGCGGGCUGUGGAUUUUGUUAAUAGUCGAAGUACUAGUUGAUAAAGCCAUUAAUCCGAAUUUAGUAAAGAGAUUGUCAUCAGAAAAUGUCGAGAUUUCUUUUACAAAAGGCAAUAAAUAUUCUCUUUCAGAAUGCUUUUCUACGAAGUAAGCAUAACUCUUUUCUUCCUAUUUUCAUUUCUACUAUGGUUUCUCCCAAUACUUAGUAUCUUCAGUGCAGAUACUACAUUUAGUGGUUAUAGAAGGAACAGAAAGGGACAAAAAUUCAACCUUUGUACAACAGUUUAAUUUUUGUCCCUUUCUGUCCCUUAUCUCUAUAAUGAGCAAAGUGUCACUACUAGACAUGAAAAUCUUUCCCACGAUUUGCUAUUCAAGUUAUUAACUAUAUAAUGCAGACAUGUAUAUCUGAUACUGUAUCAGAUAUAUCUUGUGAAUUUUAAUCAUGCAUGCCAAUGUGGAAAUUUCCAUUUUCUUUUUCAUUUUUUAUCGGAGGGGGCAAGUAGAAGGAUUAGAUGCCUGGAACGUAUCAUGUUUGAAACUAGCAUCUCCAUAAAUGUAAUUUAUAUGCUUCACAAGCAGUUCGCGCCACAUCUCUAUUAAAUGUUGCUUUUGCUGAAUAGGGGCAUGAUAUUCUUAUGGCUACAAUGCUUAACGGAGCUGCAAUUAUGGAUGGAGCACUUCUUUUGAUUGCUGGUAAUGAAAGCUGCCCCCAACCUCAGACUUCUGAGCAUCUUGCCGCUGUUGAAAUCAUGCGUCUCCAACACAUUAUCAUUCUACAGAAUAAGAUUGAUCUUAUUCAGGAAAGUGCGGCAAUUAAUCAACAUGAAGCUAUCCAGAAGUUUAUUCAGGUAGGGUUUCUAGGGUUGCCUCUUUUGUACUACAGAUCAGUUUCCUCUAUUUUGCCCUUUUGUAACACUUGCAAGUGUUCAAUGAUAUGAACAGGGUACGAUUGCUGAUGGGGCUCCUGUGGUACCAAUAUCCGCCCAAUUGAAAUACAACAUUGAUGUUGUUUGCGAGUAUAUUGUCAAGAAAAUACCUAUUCCUGAGAGGAAUUUCACUUCACCGCCAAACAUGAUUGUGAUUCGUUCUUUCGAUGUGAAUAAGCCUGGUUCUGAGGUUGAUGAAAUAAAGGGUGGCGUUGCUGGUGGAAGCAUACUGAGGGUACGCUAAAAUACUGAACUGCAUGAAGGCAUACAUUAUUAUAAACCUAGUUUUGCAAGAAAACCUCGUUUCUCCAAUUGUUCGGCACCAAGUGUAUUUUUUAUUUCCUGUUUUGAUUGCAAUUGUUGUUUCUCUUGAUAUUUUUUAAAAUUGUUUCUCAUGCUUAAUUAUUUAACAUAUCAUGCUUUUUGUGAUUACUGUGGUUAUAUAGCUAAGUUAUGUAUGUAUUCAAUGCAGGGAGUAUUGAAGGUGAACCAGUUCAUUGAAGUCCGUCCUGGAAUUGUGAUCAAAGAUGAGAGCGGUAACAUUAAGUGCACCCCCAUAUAUUCAAGGAUUGUUUCCCUAUAUGCUGAGCAGAAUGAGCUACAGUUUGCUGUGCCUGGGGGGCUUAUCGGAGUGGGUACUACAAUGGAUCCUACACUGACCCGUGCAGAUAGGCUUGUUGGUCAGGUUCUUGGAGAAGUUGGAUCUUUGCCCGAUGUUUUCGUCGAGUUGGAGGUUUGCUCAAUCUCAUGAUUGUUUUUCAAUUUUGUGAAAUAAUUAAACUUGCUGAAGUAUAAUUCAACUGCAUCUUUCAUCAUUAUCAUUGUCUCAACUCCCAGUGACGUAGGGUCGAGUAGAACUAGGGCUGUUAACUGAGCUCACUGCUUUCCAUCCCAAAAUUAGGCUGAAAAAGUGUUGGAUUGAUUACCUUAUUCAGUAAUAAGCUAAGCUCGAGCUUAAUCUAGAUCACUUUUAUAUGGGCUGCUUAAGCUUGAAAGAUAAUCUAACUGCCAAGAACAAAGUGUACUGAACAUUGUUUAAAUCAUUGUUUACACUUUUGGAGGAAUAUAUGCUUAUUCUUGUCAAACAAUCUCAAUGUUACUGUAAGGAACUUGGAAGCCUUUUCCAAGGACGUUUUGAGCUAAGUGCUUAUAGUUUGCCCAACUGGUGAAGAGAGUAUAUGAGUGAGGUAAGAUAGAAAAGUUAAUGCAUUAUCUGCACCGGAACUGGUCUCUCCAUGUAGAAUAUCUGUAAUACAAUUGCUCAUGUAGAAUGUCUGCCUGUCUUAAUAUUUUUGGAGUAUCCGCAUUUUCUGAGUUCUUUAACUUUUGAAUGUUCUGCAGGUGAACUUCUUUCUGCUGCGAAGGCUUUUGGGUGUAAGGACGAAGGGCACGGAGAAGCAAGGAAAGGUGUCGAAGCUAGCCAAGGGCGAGAUCCUCAUGCUCAACAUCGGAUCCAUGUCAACGGGCGCCCGUGUGGUUGCCGUGAAGAAUGAUCUCGCGAAGCUGCAGCUCACUGCGCCUGUCUGCACCAGCAAAGGUGAGAAGGUGGCACUCAGCCGACGAGUCGAGAAGCAUUGGCGGCUUAUCGGCUGGGGCCAGAUCCAGGCUGGUGUCACUCUUGAAGUCCCCCCUUGCCCAAUCUGAUAACCUCCUCCCAUUUCCUAUAAACGAAGUCAUUACCAGCAAAAUUAAAGAAACUUGUGAGAGAUCGAUCUAAGUGGGACUGAGGGUAGAGAAUCUCUGCUUAUAAUUUUCGAGUGGUGUAGAAAAAAUUUGGUUUUCCCCACUUUUACCUUUUUUCUUUUGUUUCAAAUUAUCGAGAGAAUGCAAGGUUCUAGAGGCUAUUUUUGUUUGUAGUGGAAUAAUAGCUUCUUAUUUGAAUGUCUAUUUGUGUGGAUUAUUACCAGAUGGUAGCCUGUUGCCAUAGUGCUUUUCAAAUGAAUUGGAUUAAUUAGAUGACAAGGUACAUGAUUUGCUGUUCCAAAUGUUUUUUGUGUUGUUAUUAAGAGCACUCACCUUGUUAGUAACUAUAUUGCGUCCACUUCAGCCUUUUAAGGUUUUUCUUAUUUAUUGUUCUUUCUUUUUAAAAAUUAUAUAUGCCAGUGGUAGUGUCAUGUUUGUUGGUUUUGCCUUCUUUGAUUUGAGAACAUGAAAAUUUUGAGGGGCAUGCGUGAGCACUUUUAUCGUGCAUAAAAGUCGAUGAUCUUUUUCGUUCCAACAAUUAACAAGCUGACAUAAGAAUCAACGGCACACGUCACACUCAUUUGAGUGAUAUUUCAUCAGGGGGUGGUCUGUGUUAAAUCAUUCAGUAUUGCAAUUUCUUUAGUAGUUUCUCCCUACUAGUCAAAAAAUUCGAAAUGUCAUGUUAUGAAAGGCCAGAGGCCCUCGUUUUGACACCAUUGAUGACUUUAAAUUUAUGGACAAUAGAGAGAGAUUGUGAACUGUCUUAGAAGUAUUUUAAUUUUAGUAAAUAAUCUAAAUGCGGUACAAAUUCCUGAUCUAAUACCUGUUGAUACUGUUGCUUUACCAGUAGCAGAGCAGCUUUAGCUAGUGAUCAAACUAUUCAGUAGCUUUAGAUAGUAACUUGUGUUCUCAACUGCUUCAGUAACUGGUGGAAAACAUUCAAUCAGGCGGAUGGAUUAAAGAUUGAAAAAAGCUAUCAUUCUUCAAAUUGAUGUGUUCUGAACUGUGCUAUCGACGAUAAAUCCUGAUGUUAUGAAUGGAUAAGUUCAAUGAAAAUAAGAGUCAUUUGCAUGAGGAACUAAAGAUUGUCUAUGCCUCGUAUCCUCUGAAGAGAAUCUUGUAAAAGAUUUUUUUAUGAAAGUAGGUAUCAGCUUUUAGUAAAUGACAUUUUUUGAUAAGAUAUUUAUUAGGAUCUUUGUAUUAAAUCUACUCUUUGCUUACAUACAUCAUAAUUUGAUAUUGUAAAAUUUGGUUGUCAUUGUGCAUGCAUUGCUAUUUUGUGGGUAAAAUUUCAAUACUGGUUCCCUGAAAAAUGAGUCAAGUUUCAUGUCGGUGCUCAAAUUUUAAUUUCAACAUUCAAGUUCUUAAACUUUUAAUAAGAUUUCAAUUUAGUUCGUAUGCGUUGUGCGGUAUUUGAUUUUAGUCUGUUGGAAUAGUGAAAAAUGUAUGAAGUAGAAAGAUGAAAAAGCUUUCAAGACGUGUAGCAAUGCCACUUUCCUUAAGGCUUAAUCCGUCCCCACGGUUCAAUCAAUUUGGUGUACACAGGGUCAAUAUAUAAACAACCUCCUAGGAUACAAUGAAACACAAACCUUAACUGCGUUUGCACACACGAAAUUGAGCUUUUGAGCUCUCACUCGAUUAAGUUGUCAAAGAAAUAGAAUAAGAAAACAAGAAUAAAAUUAUUAUGAACGGAGACUUAAAACUCUUCAAAUGUUUUGUAUUUUUGCAACCAACGCUAUGUACUUAUAUAGAUCACGAACGGGUGCUUCAUGAAGUGACUAUUCAUAAAUUGGUGUUUCGUGCAGUGGCCUUUCAAUUGUGACUUUUCAUUUUUAUAUGAGUCAAAUUUAAUGAAUGUAAGAAUUAAUUCCAACGGACGUAUGCUCGAAGAGAGACAUUAUAAUAAAGAUGUGUUUUUUUUAUGUCAUAUCCUUUCAUUAAAGAGAAAUGAUUCGGUACUUUUUUUAAAAAAAAAUAAAAAAGAUCUUAACCGUUCAUUAAUAGAGGGUAAAAAUGUAACUUUAAUACUUAGCAGGUAAAAGGAUUAUUUUAUUCAAGGUUAAUUUGGUAAUUAAAUAAUACAAUAUUUAAAGAAACUUUUAAUUGAGGUCCUAAAUUUAUGCAUUAAUUAGUACUAAUUUAGGAAAUUAAUUGAUUAACCAAAUUUAUGAAAUUAUUAGGCAUUAAUUUAGGAAUCUACUUUAAAUGUUUUAGUGUUUCUCAAAUUAUGCAUUAAUUUAAAUUAUAGAAAUUUUAGAAAUAGUUUUAUUUCUAAAUACGAUGAAUUUAAAUUUUAAAAAUUAAAUACUUAAAAUUUAAAAGUGAAAUUUAAAUUAGAGGAAUUUCAUAUUACUAUUUAAAAACUAAAUUUCUACCAAGAUUUAAAAUACAGUUUAUUCGCACCAGUUUAAAACGUAAUGCAUAAAAAACUUAGAGAGUAAGAUUUCUACAACUAGAUUUCUCUAGAGGAAUUUCAUAUUACUAUUUAAAUUUUAAAUUCAAUGAUUUAAAAACUAGAUUGAACCGAUUGAUUUGACUGAUCAGACUUUGACCUAUUCUAUCAAGAAUCUGAUUUUAACCUAUUGAACCGAAUAACAUUAAGAACAAUUUGGAACCGGUAAAGAUAAUAAAUAUUUUAAACAGAAUAAUAAUUUAACUGUUAGAGCUAAUAAAUAUUUUAAAUAUAAUUUUAAACAUAUAAAUUAAAAAGAUUAGAAUUAUUGGUGAGAAAAAAAAUAGUUAGGAAUUUGAAUUCGAAUCUGACUAACAAUCACAAAACUUAUUUCCGAACUCGACGGAUUUCAAAAAUCCAUAUCCAAAUUCAAAACUGACCAAUUUUUCGAAACCCAAAAUCAAACCUAAACUAGAAGACUAGAAUUCAAACAAUUAUUUCUGUUUACCAUAUUUCAAAGUAUUUAUAUGAAACUUAAAUUUUUAAAAUAUAAAUUUAUAUAUAAUAUUAAAUUUUAAAUUUAAAAGUGAAAUUUAAAUUAGAGAAAUUUUAUAUUACUAUUUAAAGUUUAAAUUCAAUGAUCAUAUUGUCACAUUAUUUGAAAAUUUUCUUAUAUGAAAUGCCAAAUUAUGAAAUGAAAGAUAGAGAGAGCAAAAGGAAACAAAGAAAAAAUAAAAAUUUUGAAAAUAUAGUAGAUGUAAAAUGACUAAAUUGCCCAUGUAUUAAAAGACAAAAAUAUCCUUUUUUGAGGUACCUGGUAACCGGUACCUCUCCUAAAGUGACCUGCUAUUGCAGGUCACAAUUUUAAAAAAACUAAAUCUGAGUCGUUGAAUACGCGUGAAUGAACGGUAACCAAAAAAAAAAAAGUAUAGAAGCAUUACUCUUCAUUAAAAGUCACAUCCUUUCAUAUUCACUCUAAGAGUCACACUCUUUGAUUAGAGUUGCAUCCACUCAUUAAGAGUUGCAUCCAUUCACUAAGAAUCGCAUCCAUUCACUAUAAAUCAAAGAACAAAAUAUAUUAUUUUAAAAAUUUUCUUACAUAGUCUACCUUAGAUUAGAAAUUGUUGCAUGUUCGAAUUUCAUCUAUUUGUCCAUACACCAUAAAUUCGUCAGUUUUUGAUCAUCUUCAUACUUUCAUUUCAGAGGUCCCACUUAUUUAAUAAAAAAAAUUAUAAUUCAGUAGACAGUAGGGUUUAAAUAUGCAAUUAAAAAGUUGUUAAUAAAUGUGUGGUACAUAUAGGUACAAAUGCACUGUAGUAAAUGUAUGGAAGAACUAAAAUGAAACUCUUUGAAGAGCUUAGGGGUUGCUAAUGUCGAAAUUAAAAGUUUGAGAACCAAACCGAAACAUGGCUGAAAGUCUGGGAAGUAGUGGCGCAAUAGCAAGAACAAAAAAGCAUAUGCAUAAACAAUCCCAACAGGACAAUUAUAAGGACUUUUUUCGAAAAUAACCCUAUAAAAUUUUGUAUUUGCCAAACUAACCCUGUGAAAUUUUUAUUUGUGAAACUAACCCUCCUCUCGCCACGUGGGCGCCACGUCAGGGAUUCCUAAAAAAGACGAUGAAUCGUUCACCGUCUUUGAUAUUUGUUGUGAAGGCGGUGAAUGGUUCACCGUCUUCAUAAGACGGUAAACCAUUCACCGUUUUUAGUACAAAUUCCUACACUGCGCAAAUCUUUUCAAGUCCAUCCAUAAUAUGGUGUCCUUGAUAAGACGGUGAAUCGUUCCCCGUUUUCUCGAGGGCACAGAAAAGGCGGAUUUGAGAGGGUGGAAAGGAAAAAGGACGGAAAGGAGAAUUUUGCACUAAAGGCGGUGAAUGGUUCACCGUCUUUAGAACGGUGAACCAUUCACCGCUUUUAAACAAAAAUUACAAAGACGGUGAACGAUUCACCGUCUUUUUGAGGAAUCCCUGACGUGGCGCCCACGUGGCGAAAGGAGGGUUAGUUUUACAAAUAAAAAUUUCACGGGAUUAGUUUGGCAAAUACGAACUUUCACAGGGUUAUUUUCGAAAAAAGUCCCAAUUAUAAUUUCCUUUUUAACAGGCCUUUUUGCUCACUAAAAGCUGUCUGUAAUUUGUAAGGAAAAAAAAGAAGAAAAAACCCGUGGCUUUUCUACGGAAAAUAUACAUUUUAUGAGCUUUAUGAGCCAUAGUGUUUUGAUAAACUUCAGAGUAUGUGGAGCUCGUACACUGUGGCUCAAGUAAAUCCCCACAUCAGAUGGAGCCCAACCAUUAAACGGUUGAGUUCAAAAAUGUAAAUCCCCGCAUCAGAUGGAUCCCAACCAUUGAGCAGUUGAGUUCGUUAACGUUGUAGACAGUUUACCAGCACAGCUGCGCUCUUUAGUUUAAAUGACUGCUACAUACUCCAGAACGCAUUCACCAAAAUUUUUUGAGUCAUUUUUUGGUUCAUUUUCUCUGCUGUAUGUUCUAUGCUGUCAUUUGAGCCCUGCAUUGUCUUGCUACUGCAUUUAAAUGUACUACGAUCAUUUGUUAUUGCAACUGAGGUAUAAUUUUUUACUCCAUGGCAAAUUCUCAAAAUCAAUAUUUGAGGAAAAGAACUUCAUCUGUGAGGUGAUUUUGUUUAAAAAAUGCGGAUUAUACUUAAUGCAAUGGUGAAAGUAUAUUUGGCGAUUGUCCUAAACACCUUAAUCUCGUCUCCCAGCACCUCUCGAUCUCAUAUUUUGAUCGACACCUAUGGUUCUCGCUCAAAUAACCGGAAUGCAAUUAUGUACUUGCAAGACCGACAGUCUCUAGAGCAAGUGGCAAAGGACUUAGUGGUUGGUACCUGAGACCCAAGUUCGAAUCCUAGUUGGUUCACAUUUCCAGCUAAGUUUAUUUCUAAAUGAAAUAAACGAAGCAGAUAGCGUGCUACCUAUUUCUCUCAAAAAAAAAAAAUUAUGAAUUGCAAGGUUAUUUCUAUAGCAAUGGUGGAUUUGUGAUGGGUUCACAAGUUUGUAAUUUUUCACACCAUCAAAGAAAAAGGACUAUUCAUUCCAUAUAAAAUGUCUCAAAUCCCCAUUUCCCAUUAUGUGGAUAACUACUAAGUAGUGGAGUAGUAGAUCCAACUCCCCAUAACCAUUCCCACCAUUUUUCCAUAAUUAACUUAAUAAAGCGGGUAACAAUACUAACCUAAUCCACUAGGUUGCCGAUCAGUCAAAUAGGGCCUUUCUUAAAUGAGUCAUAUAACUCAAGUCUAACAAAUUUCUCACCUUGUAAGAAAAAUGACUUUACGUACAGCCUCUAAGUUAGCUCUUCUCGGAAUAUAAUAAAUCACCCCCUAGGUGAAAAGCAUCAGGUCUGAAAAAUUAUGAUUACGAAGGCCUUGCAAUGGACUAAAAUUUAGUUCACGCAAGUUAUCACAAAGUAAUAAACCCAAUGUCUUAAAAAGGCCUCAUAUAUAGGAUGCACGUUCAGUCUACAUAACAUACAUGUAAAAGCAAAAAACUGAGGAAAUACAGUAGAGUUCAAUAAACACACGCAUCAAUUCUUUCUAAUCAAGAACCUUUGCUUUACAUAUUAUAUUUAUACAUCAACUAAAAAAAGAUUUUCAAGAUAUUAAAUAACUUGAAUUCCGUUAAAAACACUACAAAGAGCUUCAUAAAUUAGGGAAGUUUUCCUUUCAUCAUUGAAAGAGAAUAUGGUCUCGUUAGCACUGCUCUUUAUUAGCACCCCUUCUGGUCAGUGGCGUUAUCGUUCCUACAAAUCGACCCAUUUAUCCCUCUCUCUUCUAGGGAUAGAAUUAAUCGAGCAGGAUCAACAUGACCGCAGAGGAACAAUUGUUCAUUUGAUUGCUUCAGUGGCUUCUUUCCAGAAAGGAGAUACUUUCCAUUACUCAACAGAAGCUUCCCAUUAACCUUCCAGUAAUCUUCGUAGCUUAAGCUAAAAUGCUAGGUUUGUUGCCAAUUAGAGUUCAAAAGCCUUCUCACGAGUUUGGUAAAAACAUAAUUGCAAGUUCUUGGAGCAGUAUAAGAAUAAGAAUGAGGCGCCUUCCUUUAUAGUGCAGUGACAUCUCAGAAUUUCAGGGAACUGCAUAUAUUUAGCGCGUAAAAAUUAAAAAAAGAUGAAAAAUGCGAUAUUUAAAGAGAAGUAAAAGACUACCAGAGUAGCUCCAGUAAUGAUUGAACUUUCUGCAUCCUGCUAAACAAAGAAGUGUCGUCCUACAGUGAAAAAGGAAAAUGGAAAUCACUUUAACACGAGAUAAUCCGCAAUUCUAAUUAAAGAUGAGUGAGAGCUUUCAUCGAACAAAAGUAAAAUUGGACAAAUUUUGCAGAAAGUGGACGAAAGACUACCACGACAAAUCACAAAGGUUUCUAAGUAUUGCCAUUGUAUCUCACACUUCAAAGGGUACUGACCUAUAUAAUCCAACCUAUAUAAUGUAAUAACGCUUAUCUACUCAUGCAACACAAUAUUUAUUUUGUAAACUUUCCAAAACUCCAAUUUUCUGUUGGAAAAUCUUUCUGAUCUCUUAGUAAAAUUUUCUUUAAAAGCUAUUCAAAAGUUUAAUUUCAGUUUUUAGGAAAAUUUCGAAAAGAAAUUAAAUAGUAAAUACUGUAAAGAAAAGGAUUAGAAAAGGCCUGUGGAUCGAGCUAUGCAGAGUACUGUCCUAGAAGCGAGAUUGCCCUUCCACGUGCGAGGCUUCUCGGCAAUCACUUCUAGCGAUACAACAUCCACAUUCCACCUUGUCAGCAUGCUUUCAAGGUGGCGUAAGAUGAGCCCAAUAAACUUUAGAUUCAGCAAAAUAUUAGAAAGCUCGGUGAAAAUCAGCGCAAAAGAUCAAUGACGAGAAAAUAGAAGAAGCGGAGGUAGAGAUUAGGGUUUUAUUCUCAGGUAAGCCCAAGUUGAGAUUGAACUCUUGUAACCUUCUCCAAUAUAUAUCAAGCCUACCGGUCCGUGAUAUACGGAUAUGGGUUAGGGCUCCCAAAAAUAAAGAUGAAACAAAAAAUAAAAAUAAAUAAAAUAAAAUAAACCGGGUGUCUGGACAGCGUGGGUCGCCGCCCGCCCGCCCGGCGCGGCUCGUGCUCGUGCCGUGCGUGCAUUUAGUCGAGAGCAUAACUCUCAUUUUCUCUCAAGCAACUAAUUUGAAAAUGAAGGAGUAUAAAAAUAACAAUAACAUACUUUUAGUUUUCAAUGUGAGACUAAUCUUCACAUGUGAAAUCUUAGUAUGGGCUUCCAGGCAAAACCCAUGGAAUAUUGGGUUGCCCAGGAAGCCCAUGAAGUCUUAAAGCACCAAAAAACCCAAAAAAUUCUAACAUUUUCAGCAUCGGCCUUGUUUAGAACACAAAUCAACUCCUAUCUAUCUUUAGCAGCUAAAGUGCUUAUUAUGAUUUAAAUAAGUUCCAAGAUAGGAACAAGAACUACCAAUACAUAACAUGCAUGAAGAAUUAGACAAACACUGCCAACCCGAUUAUUAAGACUACAUAAUCAGCAUUUCACCUUAUGAAUGCAAGACUAAUAAAAAAAUAGAUAAACAACAAGAUUCAUUAAUCAAGUUUCUUCCUUAAGCAGCAAUCUAAUGGAGUACAAGCCUAAUUAGGUGAAUCGACUCUGAUACCAACUGUAACGACUCGGACGACUAGCACUAAUAACUCAUUGGGCCCAAAUCAUCGCCCAAAAUGCUUAAGCUCAGUUAUUAGUUCUAGUGCACCCACCAUAUAUAAGGUGCUUGCACUUUCCUACAUUAUUUGUUUUAGGCCUUGACGACCCAUCAGCCCGAUCUUAGACAUAGCACAACACAGUCAUGCGAUGUGACGCCCACCUCACACUACCGGCUGGUGAAGCAGCUCUGAUACAAACUGUAACAAUCCAGUUUGCUAGCACUAAUAACUCGUUAGGCCCAAACCACCGGUACAAACUUCUUAAGCACAAUUAUUUGUUUUAGUGUGCCUGCCAUAUAUAAUGUCACGACCCGCGACCACCCGCCUAUUUGGUCGAGGUCGCGGCACCGACAGCGCCGAAUGGACAGGGUUUUUCCUGUACUACGGACAGAGUCUCCCUUGUACAUUCAAGGCAUCGCAAUCAAUACAAUACAAAGGUUCCAACCAGGAACAGUACUCAACAAACAGAUUGCAUAAGGAAGGUAUCAACAACAUAACACAUCCUAUGUUAUUACAUACAUUCACAUUCAUUGGUUUUACAUCACAAUUCUCAUUUGAUUUCUUCCAAAUACAAUCUAGUUAUUACAAAUUUAUUUACAAGUUGAUAUAUUGUGUUCUUUUCAUUCCCCAUACCCCUAAGCUAUGUCGACGGGGUACUGCUAGCUCUGGUCUCUGGGUAGGGCGCUAUUUAUGGAGCUAAGCCCUUUCCUCGCGCCGCCGCGCCGCUCACGUGCGAACCUGUAACACCCCAAAACAACGUGGGGUGAGAACCAACUCCAUGAUUCCCAGUGGGUACGGCCACCCAAGGAAAAAGCUCGACCAAAAGAUUCAAGGAGGCACUGCAAUCAUGUUAGUCCAAAAACAUCUAUAGAUAUAUAUAUCAUCAUGUUAUUAUGCAACUAAUAGAUAACAUGCCUCGCAAUAUGCAAUAUGUAUAUCAUGCAGUUCUAUGCAAUUAUGCAACCAUUCAGGAGAUCUAUUGAUUCUACAUUCAACUCAACUAGUCUUAGCUCAUGUUAUUUGACUCUAAGGUUUCUACUACCUUAGUUCACCACAACUCAAGUUCAACUUGCUUCUAAGGUCUCUAUUACCUUAGCUCUUACCUUUAUCACUAGCUUUCAAGGUUUCUAUUAACCUAAUCAAGCUAACCACCCGACUCGGCCUUGAGUCAAUCAUCUGCAGAUAGUCCGUGCACUAGCCGCCCUCUAAGACUUAACCAGCUGGCGGCGAAGUCGUCGCAUACGCCGAACACUGGUUCAAGUCCCUUGAAUUGGCCAUCUGGCGGCAAACGAAUUGCACCUCACCCAACAAUGGCUCAAGUCGAUAUGGCGGCAUAAUCCACAAACUGGCUUAAUCAUCCGGCGGCAAAAUCGUCGCACACGCCACGACAAUGGUUCAAGCCCCGGGCGGUGAUCUCUGUGCACUCACCUCCCAAUCCUCCCUUGGUAUCAACCUCGGCGGCGAAAUCGUCGCACACGCCCUAGCCUUGAUACCAAGGUCAUCACAGGUCCUGGGAUUCCAGAAUCCACUUCUACGGGUCGAGGGUCCAUAACCAAACCUAUGCUGUCGACCUAGAACAUCCUAGUGGCUGCUACCACUAUUCUCAACAACCUAGGUUCAAAGCCACUCUAGGUUUACUAUAUCACAACCUAGGUUACCAAAACUCUAAGUUCUAUAUCAUCACUACCUAGAUCUCAGCUUCUAGGUUCACUGGUUCAAUCUAUGUUCACUGACACUAGGUUCAACAUCCCUAUGUCCGACCUAUGUUUAUUAACACUAGGUUCGAUAUCAUUCCUGUUCAACCUAUGUUUACUAACACUAGGUUAGAUGCCACUCGAUCUAAUCGACAUCCUAGUUGUCCAAUCGAGUAUUACGGUUAUACAUUCCUGUUUUCCAAUGUUAUUUCUCUAAUCAAUCUAGAGUAAUCAACCAAGUUCACAUGCAUAUAUAAUUUCACAAUGCUAAUCACGCCCUUUAUAAUCUCACAAUGCUAAUUAUACAUUUAUAAUCUCAUAUAUCAUUUUAUAUGCAUCUACUUAGCAUUUGCAUUAUAUUAUCCACAUGCAUUAUCUAGCAUUAGCUACAUGCAUCAACUUAGCAUUUUAAUUUAUGUCAUCAACAUGAACUUCAUUCCAUGCACUAUACUCACAUGCAUUCUUUUAGUGUUAAUUACAUGCAUCCAUUUACAUGCCUCAUUUACAUUUAUAUGUAUCAACAUGGAUUCUUAACUUUCUUAGACAUAAAGGCGACUUAGUCGCUUCGGUAAGCACAACCCACCUUAACUCGCGUUCCGAUUGCUUGUCGACACUUGCAAUCGGCCUCCCGCGGCACCAGUAUCCGGUACGGCCUGAUAUUGCAACUGCGCCUCAAUCGUGCUCCGCUUCGCAGCCCCGGAAAUUAUAGGUCUUCGGUUAUGUGCCACGGUGCUCCAAAUCCAUUUCCACGAUUUUACGACAUCACCUUAGCCCUCCAGGCAGAAACGAAGCUAAAUCGCUUGUUUCUUUAAUAUCUUUAUAACGGCUCAACAGAUCGCCGAACCGACUUCGUCAACGCAUUCGUUUACCUAGCAAUUAGGUUUACAGAGGUAUAAAUGAGAUCACACCCAUCUAUUUAUAAAACCCCAUUUCAGAGCCCUACAUUCCAACUAGGCAAAAACCUAUCUUUAAAUCUCUAGAUUCUAGCAUUUAUCACCUAUUUAGCAUGCUAGGAAUCCAAUUAAACCACUUCUAGAGAUCAAAACCACAUAUCUAGGGAUCUACCAUGAGAGGCUAAGAAGCUUACCUCUCUAGGUUUGCUCCAAGCACGAGGAAGACGAAGGAGAGGAUGAAGAUCUCCUUCUUGAUCUUCUUUUCCUUCUUUUUCUUCUUUCUCUCCUUCUCCUUCCUCUUCUUCUUCUCUUCUUCUUUUUCGUUUAGAGAGAGAGAGAGGGAUGGUGUUGGGGUUGAAACGGUGAGGGAAAGAGAGAGAGAUGUUCUAACCCUCUCUAUACACUUAACCCAUGCAACAAUUGCAUAAAAAUCCCCCAACAAGUCUCUUCUCGCAACAGCCCGAACUGGGCAUUUUCGGGCUUCGGGGACCGGUCCUUGGAUGAGGGAUCGGUCCCUGAGAGACCGGUCCUUGGCUGAGAGACCGGUCCCCGAAGGUCCAGAACUCAGCCUCAAGGACUUAGCCAAAUUUUCAGCAUUUUCGUCCGUUUUCGUCCGUUUUCGUCCAUUUUCGCUCGUUUGACCUCCGAUUCUCUUCAAAUCAAACUGAGACUCUCCAAACAUGUUUUUAAGUAUGCUUUUAUCAUAUUUUCAUCCACGCUAAUACCGGAUUUAGCUCAUGGUCCAAUAUAGCCUUUCGGGUUCCGUUUUCGCGCCUACGCGCACCGAAACGCUCGAUUGCUCCCGAAUUUCACCGAACUUCAUUGGAACUAUUCAAAUGGCUCUCCAACCAAAUAUACACCGUAACUUCAUGAUUUUAGAAGUCCGGUACCUUACAUAUAAGCCCCUCACGCUCUUCCACAUCACCCAUUUUAGGCCAAGACCACCAGGCGAUGUGACGCUCACCUCACAGUUCUAGCUGGAGAAUCGGUUUUGAUACCAACUUAAAUGACCCAGCCUGCUAGCAUUAAUAACUUGUUGGCCUAUAGCACCGGCCCAAAAUGCUUAAGUCCAGUAAUUAGCUCUAGUGUGCCUGCCAUAUAUAAGCCCUUCACACUAUCUUGCAUUAUCCUUGCCCGCCACAUAUAAGCCCUUCACACUAUCUCGCAUUAUCCAUUUUAGGCUCUCACAACCUCAUAAGUCGAAUCACACAAAACCCAAGGCCACCGGGCGAUGUGAAGCCCCUUCCAUGUCCUAGGGUGUCACCCAUUCUAGCCUUAUAUACCCCAUACCAUACCCUUGGCUAUCUGAUAUGGGACUCUUCCCUAGCCUUAUAUACCAUCGUUACAUCCCAGAGGGUCACUCAUCCUAUGGCUAAUUCCACCCAAGCAUGCUUAACUGCAGAACCUAGCACUAAUAACUCGUUGGGCCAAAUCCAUAAUCCAAAAUGCUUAAGCCUAGUUAUCAAGUCUAGCUUAUCCAACCUUAUAUACCCCACACCAUGCUUUUGGCUAUCCGAUGUGGGACUAUUCCCUAGCCUAGGGUGUCACAGCAUGGGCUUAUUUAGGUUAAAGGAAAAAAAAUGUUGUCUCAAAAGAAAUUUGAAAACAUAUUCUGAAAUUCCCUAGCCUAGGGUGUCACAGCACGGGCUUACAUACUCGUUUAGGCAUGGCAAUAAUAAGCGCCAGCAAAAACAUGAGUUAUGUACAUAAUUGGUAUCAACUUUACAUAUAACAUUCGUUGUUUAUAAAAGAAAAAAAGGAGAAUAGUAUUGAGGAGUCCCUUACUUCAUUACUUGAUUAGUUUUAAGUAAUCCUUAGAUGUGGUUUUGGUGGAUUUAACUUCACGAUUAUGAAUGGUUACUUUCCUUGUUGAUAGCGGUAUUGUUAUUUCAUUCCAUUUUCUUUCUCUUAUUUGCAGAGGAUAUGUAUCUUGUUUGUGGUACUUGUUGUUUUGCGGAUUAUGUGUAUUGCUUUGUAUUCCAAUACCAUGCACGGAUAGAGGAGGUGCUAUCCAUGCGGUGGGUCAGUCACUGUAACACACUGGACCUCUGCAAAUUGCGAGGUUCGAGUGCUUGGAUAUAUUUCGAGCUUUUCCACACUUGGUGGAGGGUUGUAGAAUGUUUUCCGACCUAAAAAGUUCGAAAACUGGAAUUCUGGACAAGUCCUGAGAGUUUUUACUCUCGGGGACCGGUCCCUGGAAGGAGAGACCGGUCCCCCAGUGAGCAGUGUUGCGACAGCCUUGAGGCAACCGGUCCCUGGCAGGCGAGACCAGUCCCCGAGCGCGCCUUCGCAGUGUGAGACCGGUCCCGCGCAGGGAGAGACCGGUUCCCGAACGAUAGUUUUUCGGGUUCGCAGUGAGAGACCGGUCCCUGCUGGGGAGAGACCGGUCCCUCUGGGCGAAAACUGCCCAGACCGGGCUGUUGCAAUAUUGUAUUUUUGAGGGGCCUCUCCGGAUUUUGUUACACUAGAUGGACUUAUUAGCCAUUCCUCCUCUUCCCUCUCCCAUUUUCUCAUUCUCACCUCCCUCCCUACACCUUAUAGAGAGAGAAGAAGGAGAAGAAGGAGGAGAAGAAGAAGAGGAGCUUGCUUGAGGGAGCUUGGAGCUCAACCCCUUUCUCUCUUUUCCACCCUUGCAAGGCUUAGAGCUUGCUUGUAGAGCUUGGUGGAGGACCAAUCUUCAACCCUAGAAGAUUUGGAGCUUGCUUGGAGGCAUCUUGGGAGGUUAGUACUUGGGUUCUACCCUUUGAUCCUUGAUUUGGUAGGUUUUAUCAUUUGGAACCCUAGAAUGGGUAUUAGGGUUGAUUUUGGGGGCUUCUUGAUCUAGGACUUUUGAGGCUAGAUUGAUUGGAUUAGAACCUUCCUUGGGCUUGGAUUGGAAGGGAUUUAGCUCUCUUUUGGAGCUUGAGAGAGAUUUCCUACACAUUAGGUGAGUUUUAGCCCUUUUGGUAAGUUUGUUAAAGUUUGAUCUUAUAGUUGAUCGUAAUGCCCGUGUAUCUCUUUGCUCGAUGCUUUUAGGGUAUUUUGAGACUCGUGGACAACUCCGUUCGGCGAAUCGAAGGAGCACGCGACGGUUCAAUGGGUUUGACCUAGUCACACAAUGAGAAAUUCUCAUUUGUGAUGAAUUAAGUAUCAUUAAUUGCAAAAGCAUGCAUAUUCUUGUUAUAUGUAUUUAUUGUGAAUUUUAGAAUACUUAAAAUGCCUAUGUUGCAUAUAGUAAAAUUUUGGGCCUCUAUGUAGUAGAGAGCAUGCAUGUGUGACAUAGCAUUCUGGUUGAGACUGAAACUGAAAUCCCGAUUAUGAAAAUGGACCUUGCUUUCAUGCAUUUAGCUUAUUUGCUACUUGUGACAUUAGGGAUUUUUGGAAGCCUAGAGAGGCUUGAGGACUAUGACUAUUUGAGAGAUUUGGCCAAUGUCAUAAAGAGGCAUUGGGCUCGGGCUAGAGUGAACCUAGCUAGUAUUGUUUUAAUGGGAAUAUAGAACAUGAAUUGGGCAUGAUUAGUUGUGGUGCUUAAGUGUCAUAAAGAGGCACUAAGCAAGCAUGUGCGUUGGAGCGUCACUUGGAGACUUUGGACUAGAUCCUUGGGAUGCUAGUGACCUUGCCAUGUGAGAGGCAUGAGAGUAGAGUACUUGAGACUUUGACCUUGCUUGCUUGCCAUAUGUGCUCAUUCGCACAUGCUUGUGAGGGUCGCUCCCUACAAGCCGGCACUCCGGAGUUAGCCUACGCGACUUAUGUUCGCUCGUGCGGUAUUGAGAAGCCUACGGGGUCGAGUGGGACAGACACAUUCCAAGAGUAGGGAUGUCGGGCUACCACAGGCACUUAGGCGGCACAAGCUGGACUACCUUGGGUAGGUCCCUAAUUGGAAAUGGAAACCGACACAAUGUUGAGUGUGUGAUAAUCACUACUAGACAGAGAGUAGUAGCUGGAUUACUUGGACUUGCUUCUAACAUAGAUGUGGACAUUUGGGUAUUCAUCCAUACAUGUAGUAUGCUAGGAGAUGUUGUUUAUUGCAUCCUUAUAUGCAUUAUAGCCAUGACAAAGUAUCACUUUCAUAUCUGCAUAAAAUAAAUCAUGAUAUUACUUGUGAACAUGUAGAUAUAUAUUAUCCAUGACAAGAUAAAGUCGCAUUAUAAAUGCCAUGUUUAAUUGCGAGUCGUAGCUUAGCAUCUUAAUUAUGCUUUCUUAUAUGCAAUUUACUCGUUACUAUUAUUGUUGGAGUUACCCCCCCCCUUUUUUUUUUCUUUUGGGGCCUAGUGGAGCAAUGAGCUGAGGUCAGUAAUUGCCUACUGGGAACUAUAAAUUAUAGUUCUCACGCCCCCUGUUUUAUAUUUUCUUUCAGAGCCUUCCACGCCGGGAGAGGCUAGGGACCGUGGGAAGGGCGUCGCUUCGAGUUAGCCCUUCAGCGAGAGAUGAGCUUAGGUGGUCUACCUCUCGAAGUAUUUUAUUUUUGCGAGAGGUUGAGGGUUUUACUAGUGUACUAGAGACCACAAUUUUUGUACUUUUGAGAUUGAUAGUGUACUACUUAUGGUUUCUUUUAUUGUUUAGCUUUAUUUUUUUACUUUGGUAUAGAUGAUAGAACUUUACUCGCUCUGAUAUCAUUAGUUGCUAGUUAUUUUACUUCUGUUUAUUUGUUCUAUAUCUUGCUUUACUUCCGCUUUUUAUUGUAGACGCCUUAUAUGUGUAGACAUAUGGCGGGUCUGGGCACGCUACCGGGAGGGCCUCCGCCGGUCCCGGGGCGUGACAGUCAUGCCCUGGGCUAGGCUUAAAAUAUUUUUAACCUAUUCUCGUACUACUCCGAUUUCAGAAUAUGUUUUCAAAAAGAGGCCCAAUGGGUGGCAUAAAUGGCCACAACAGUAAAGGUAACUCGAUAGCCAGUGAAUGUCCAAAGUCAAAUCAAACAACCGUUAGGUGCUUCAACUGUCAUAAGGUUGGUCACUACUCCUAUAAAAGUCCUAAGAGAAACAUGGUUAUUCAACCCAAUGAGGACGAACUUGAGGAGGCUGAACACGUUCUAGAUGAGAUAGCUAGCAACAAGGAAGAUUUAGAACAAACGUAUGAUAACGAUGAUAAUGCCUUUUUAUGGGUCAUAGUGCAACAGUAAAGGUAACUCGAUAGCCAGUGAAUGCCCAAAGUCACAACAAACACCCAUUAGGUGCUUUAAUUGACAUAAGGUUGGUCACUACUCCCAUGAAAGUCCUAAAAGAAAUAUGGUUAUUCAGCCCAAUGAGGAAGAACUAGAGGAGGCUGAACACAUUGUAGAUGAGAUCGCUAGCGACAAGAAAGAUUUAGAGCAGAUGUAUGAUAAUGAUGAUAAUGCCUUUUUAUAGGUCAUGCACUGUGUCAUAGCUACACACACAGACAAGAUGACAAUCGGAGACACAGCACAAUUUUUCAGACUUUGGCAAAAUGCAAUGAUAAAAAUUGCAAGGUUGUUUUUGAUAGAGGGAGCUGCAUUAUAGUAGUCUUCAAAUUGGCCAUGAAAGAAUGAACUUAAAACCUGAGCCUUAGCCUAUUCCAUACAAGUAGCUUGGGUAGACAACCUCGUUGCCGGUUAUACAGAGAUGCUUUGUCCAGCUUCACUUUGCCACAUAUGAGGACCAAAUUUGGUAUUGUACAACGCAGCGGAACUAUUCGUUCGUACCUUUUUGCGGAAGCGAUCGCGCUACAACGCGAUGAGCCCGGAUCAUAGAGGUUGAUUCACGUGUCCUUGGAUCGUCCUUUAAGGUCUUCUAACGCUCCGAACUCGCGGUGGAUCGAACUACAAAUGAGCACGAUCUCAAAUCCACCGUUCAAGUCCCUCUAGAAUAAUAGGUUAAUGGAGGAUAUGGUUUCUCUCUUUUGUUUUUUUUAUUCUCUCUCUUUUUCCGUUCGGUACAUUAUGUUAUGUGGGAUCGCCCGCAAAUUUAUAAGGGAUUCCAAAAUCCUAAUAGCGUAAGAGAUAAGGCCAAAUCGGUUAUUAACUGUUAUCCUAAUAUGAUUAGAAUUCAUCUCUAAUUAGCUUUCCAAUUUAAAAGCGAGAUUAACCCUAAUCCAAUUAGAUAACAUAAUAACCGUCGGAUCGAGCCCGAUUAUGGGCGUACCCGAUUCGAUUUAACCGAAUGCCAACAGGUAUGACUUUCUUCCCAUGAAUGUUGCACGUCCUGUUCGAUAGACCCUAGAUUUAUGAUAUGAAUGUCACCUAUUAUGGUCGAAGAAACACUCACUACUUUAUUCACAAAGGGAAGAAAGUCUCUCUAAUUCUCAGUAAGCUAGGCCUCUCUUAGAACUCGUAAGAACACAUCACGAUCAUCUAAGGGAACCCUAUAGUGGAAUUCAUCUGGUGCGCCUAUAGUCGAGACAGCCAAACCUCUCCACAUUCUUAAUAAGAAAAGUUUUUGCAGAGAAGUUGGGACAGGCCUUGUGUAUGCCCUAAUCACUAGAGAGGUUCCCAAGACCCCCACGCACCUGAGAUACCUUCGAUCCUUAGAAACCUCCUAAUAAGUUACCUGAUGAGCUUCCACCCUUAAGAGAUGAACCUGAAAGAGAGCAUGCCGAGUUGAAAUAGCAAGUCGACGAACUAGUUAGGAAGAAAUUCAUUCGAGAAAGUGUGAGCCCAUGUGCUGUCCCAACACUGCUUUCUAGAUUUAUACACGUCACAAUUUCCAAAUAUUUGGUUUGAUGAUGGGCCAGUGCUAGAAGCUUUGACUUGAGUAUGAGUUUGAUUCAGAUUCGGUUAAUUGAUUUUGCAAAAAUUAGGGCUAGGGCUAUCUAAGUAAUUUUCUAUAUUUAUUAGAUUAGGAUUUUUAUUUCUAACUUUUUAGAAUGUCAAUCCUUUUUAUAACUCUAUUUUGAGUUUUACUUUGAGACUUUAUUUAAUUUCUUUUAUUAGAAUUCCUAGUCGUAGUCCUAGUCGUUUUGAUGCUUAUUCUAUAAACAAAGGUUAAUGCAUGCGCCCAUUAAAGAGAUUCAGUUAUUAAAAUUCUUCAAAAAUUUCUCUUGCCUUUGCGAAAGUAUUGAUUGAAGAGAGUCCGGAAUGGGAGUGAGUCCCAUUAAUUAUCUUUCCUUUUUGGUUCUCUUCUUGUUCCUAUUUAUAUAUUAGCUGUUGGAUGUACUAUGAGAGAAGAACUAUUCAAAUUUAUUUAUCUACGAGGGGCUCGCAACAACCAUCUACGCUGAGAUUGCAAUUCGAGCCUCCCACGGGUACGUGCUGUCAUCGAAUCCUUCGGCUUCUUUAUUCUUUUCUAUGACUAACUUUUCUGCGGCUAACCCUAAACCAUAGUUUCUUUUAAUUCUCUUUUAUUUAUUUUGUUGCUUUCUAACCCUAACCCUAACACUCUUUCUCUAUAUGAGAAGUUCAAACAAAGCGGCCAAGGAUUAACAGUCGACAAAAAUUUGAAUUGGUUCAUCCGUGUGCGUGCAAUUGAAAUGAUUCUGCGGGAACUUGAAAUGUGUGAUUUUUCCUUAACCACCCUUUUAUUUAGAUCCCCGAAUUCUCUAAUUUUGUUGCUUAUUUUGUUUUAGUUUAAUUUCUAAGAAUCGUCUCAAUUAGAAGAAAGUUAUUGGUAUUUCGUGACUUUACCCAAUAAAGAAAUCCUAAAGGUUGUCAUUGUUGGGAAACCGAUAUUCGCCCUGGUACAGGAUUUGAGAAUCUGUAACCCGUUCCGAUACCGAUUGAUAUGGAUCCGGUACCAAUUGUUAGGAUUCCGCAACGGAAGCGUCGAAUCGGGUUUUUACCAUAAACCCGUAUCCUCAACAAAAGUUGAUAUAAUCACAAAAGAGAGAAAAACCAAAAUAGAAAAUAUGCGGGUAAAAUAAGAUUCAUUAAAUAAGAGAAGAUUACACUUGACCCCUUCUGCAACUGAGUAGCUACAACCAAGCCCUCUUUCUGAAUCUUUUCUACCUUUCUCUCGUCUUCUAUAAACCCACAUAAAAGACAACCCUCUCUAUUUCUCUCUCAAUGUACUCGUGCACUACUUGCAUGCAACCAUUAGUUUCUCUCUCCUGGUACGGUUUCACCAAAGAAGACAUUCUCUCUCACCGUACUCUCUCCUCCAAAAGCAUACCAAAGAAUGCAUUUAUAAUGCAUUCUCUAAGACGUAGGCGAAUCCUAAUCUAAUUAGGAUUCCUACUCCAAUUAACAUUUAAAUCUAUAUAUCAUUUAUCUUCAAUAGAUUUAAAUAUUUAUCCUAAUCUAAUUAGAUUUAUACUCUAAUUAAUAUUUAAAUCUUAAUUUAUCUUCAACAAAUUUAAAUAUUAAUUCUUAUCGAACUAGAAUUAAUCUACAAAUCUAAUCAAAUCCUAACCGUCAUGUCUAGAAUAACAAAUAACAAAACAUACUAAUAACACGAACAGAGAAACAAGUUGAGGAAGAGGCAUCAAACAUGACAAAAAGAAUAGGUAAAGGAAAAAAAAAAACUCUUCAAUAAAUUUCCCAUCAGAACAACGCUCAAAGAUGGUAACUAAAAUAAGGAGUCCAGCUACUAUGCUAUUAAUAGCACGAAGCACUUGGUGCUACCAAGUUUUUCGGCGUUAGAUCUACCCUUUUGAUUAUUUUCACCCGUUAGAUCAUACUAUUCAACCAACCACCCACUCAACCUUAGGGGGCCCACAUCAUCCUAACCGCACAUCUUUUAAUCCAAUGGCCAAAAACUUGGUAGCACCAAUGACUUGGUGCUAUUAAUAGUAUAUUAGCCUAGUUCCUAAAAUAAUUAUCUUAUUCAGAUACCAAGUUAGCCACCCUACGGACCUGGUCAAGCAUAUGAUCUCCAAUCUUUUCAAUCUAUAUUCAAAUAUCAUUACUGAUAAUCUAGUAGUCAAAAGAAAUCAUGGUGAGUUAACAUGAUAGCGGCAUCAAUUUUACACCCAAUCAAACUCUUAUAUCUCAUGAUCGAUCACCAACUUAAAGCACAAACAACAGUUCUUUAUAUGGUCAUUUGGUCCACAUUCACUUAUCAAUGCUCAUAAACCAUCAAAACUAAAUUAUCAAGGCAAAAACAAGAUAACUAACCUGUGUGAAGGCAUACAAUAACGACCCAACUCUAGCAGCCAUCCUCGAUUCCACGAAAGAACUUUUGAACUCCUACCUCUUCAUCACAUCCCAUUCGGCACCGCCUGCCUCUUCUCCGGCUCAUAAUAUUCUAGUGCAUUGCAACCAGCUCCUCCAUCAUCAGCCCUUGAGUCCUCACAGUAACCUCCGAAAGAAAUGCUACAAAAUUGAAAAAGUCAAAUCACCAUUCAAAAUCGGCAAAGCUGAGAAAGACUUCGCAAAACCAAAUUGCCAAAGAAAAAUUUAUAUACCCAGGUCAGUAAUUUCUAGGAUAACUUUUAAAAAAGUCUGAUAGUGCCUUACAUUUUAUCUUCUCAAAAAAGAUCCUUAGUUUUGAGUUAUUCUUUCAAGAAAGCUUCUACUAAUCAACGUUUAGGAGAGUUUCAGUGUGAAACAACCGUUGUACUCUAAAAGCUUAAGCGGUUAGAGAACGGUGUUUAAAUAUUUUUAUAUUUAACACUCCUCCUCACGUCUGUGCUCGAGACUUUUUUAGUCGGCCCAUGACGUGGGCUUAAAUUAAAUGGGAGAAAAUUAAUAUGCUAGGAGCCUGGCGUGACUCGAACUCAGGACCUCCUUCUUUGAUACCAUGUGAAACAACCGUUGUACUUUAAAAGAUUAAGCUGUUAGAGAACGAUAUUUAAACAUUUUUAUAUUUAACAUUCAGAAUAUUCUAAUAUAUUUUUUAAGCCAAUUUUUCCAUUUAGUAAAAUUUUACCUUUUGAACAUGAAAUUUACAAGGAUGGAGUGUAAUGGGACAAGAAUAAAUUCAUGACAAAAUGAUGUGUAUAUGAUGUCUACUGGGAGAAAGGGGUUGGGAUUGUCAGUUAACUCUUCUUAAAUUCCCCUAAAACAUGACAAGAAAGACUUUUUUUGAAACAAAAAUCAAAAUCACAUGAAUAAAAAUUAGAAACUUCCGCAAAAUUACCUAUCUUUGUUGCUACCUUUGCAGCUUUGCGGAGAAUUUAGGAAUGUAUAUAUAGAUGAUUUUUACAGAGAAAAGGGCUAAAAUUGUUCAUUAGAUAUUCUUAAAUUCAUCUAAAAAAUGAUAAGGACUUUUUUGAAAGAAAUUCAAAAUCGCUGAGAUAAAAAAAAGUUAGUUAAAAGUUUUCAUUAAAUUAUCUAAAAAUUGAGUGAUUUGCAUACCAUUUAAAAUACCGAGUGCCAAAAUUUCAUUUAUCUUUCUGCUAGCUUUGCAGACAACAAAGUGUACAUGAAGUUUACAAAUUACAAUGGUAAGGGGCUAAAAUUGAUCGUUAAAUGUUAUUAAAUUUACCUAAGACUUGCUAAGGACUCUUUUAAAACAAAUUUAAAAAGCUAGGAUAAAAAGUUAGGAUUUUUCUUGAAAGGUUAAACUAUAUGGAACUUACUUGAACUAUGACCCAUUUUGAUUCAACUGUUUAACUUUUUAGAAAUUUUGAUUGUAGUAUCUCGGCUUUCAAUUUCUCUUAUUUGAGUUAUUUGAUGAUACUUCUUUUACAGAAUUUGGAGUUAUUUGAUGAUACUUCUUUUACAGAAUUUGGAUGUAUUGCUUGCUUUAAUAAGGCCACGCAAAUCACCUAAUAUACUUUAGUUAAAGUGGGUAAAAUAAACGGCACAUUCUUUUUUGGCUAAAUUAUAGAAAACCCUCCAGUCAAAACCCGAUUUUUCACUUCCCACCCCCGUCAUUUAAAAACCUACACUUUGUUCCCUUAUAAAAUAAAAAAUGUUCACUUCACCCCUGCCGUUAGUGAUCCGUUAGGGUUCCGUUUAUAAAAUAUUAUUAUAUAUUCUUCUCUGUUAAUAUUUUGUUAAAUUCUAUACAAAAAAACUUCAAAUACCCUACUUAGAUUUAUUGAAUAUUCUCUUUAGUACCCUUUAGUUUUAACUUUGUCAUUGAUUUAACGAAAAAAAUUAGUGGAAUCGAUGAUAAAAAGAUAAAAAUGAAACCACAUGACACUAAGUUGAUAAACUUUAAACUACAGGAUACUAAAGUGAGAAAGUAUGAAACCACAGGGGUGGUAUUUGAAGUUUUCUCUUUAAGAAAUCAAGUUGUCCAUCUUAAUCUCCUACCCUUUAAUUAGGGUUUUUAAGGGUCAAAAGAUUUUUUAACGCUUCCAUGACAAAAGCCCUCUUUUCACCUAGGGUUUCUCAAAAAUAAAGUAAAAUCCCAAAUCUUUUGGUAAAUCUUCACCAUUUGUGGCUUAGAUUCGCCUUUGCUAAAAUUCCAAAAUCAAGCUUAAAAUCCAAAGCCCCUGCUCAAAACUCUAAGAACUCACCUCUAUCCCAAGUUUCUCAAGCUCUUUCUUGCUCCAAAAAGCCUUCUGGUCACUUCCCAAGUUUUCUCCUAGAUCAAUCCUUAAUCUCUUGCAAGGUUUAGAGAGUUUUAGAGAGAUAAAGAGGAGAAGAGAGUGUGCGAGAGUGACAGAAAGUGUUUUGGAGUGAGGAAGAAGAAGAGCUUCAGUGCUCUUUAAGCUAGACCUAGUAAAAUACCAAAAUGCCCUCAAAUUGGGCACUUUGCGAGCUCAGGGUGUAGAUCCUGCAUUCGAGGUCCGGACCCUGUACCAAGGUCACGCAUUAUGCAGGCAAGGUUCGAACCCUACCUCAGGAUCGGGAACCCGUAAGCAAUUCCUACGUUUUUUGCAGCCAAGGUCCGAACUUUGAUACUUUGGAUCGUAUCAAGGUCUGGAUCCUCAAGCUAAGGUCCGGACCCUGAGAGUCCAGUAGCUGAAAAUUAAAAUUUUCGAAAAUAUCCAUUUUCACUCCUUGAAGCUCUAGUCCACAUCUAAUUGUUCUGAAACCUUUGGAACUCAUUUCCAAAUGUGUCUAAAUCACUUUCCACCGUACUUUACCCAAUUUGGCUAAAGUUCAGUAUAGUAUACCGAAUUUCAGUACACUACAGAACUAGUAUUAUUAAAUAUGUACAAUAUAACAAGUAGUAUAAUUGUAGUGUUUCUGAGCUUUGGAUAGGAUUGACUUCAGUAUUAGUAACUGGUCGACACAUCUGGAGAGUGUCGGACUGAGUCGGAGUCGUUUCUGUACGAAUUGGAUGCAGAAAUGGACUCGGCGCACUCAAUUAAGCAAAACUGGAGUUUUGCCAGAUUCGGGCGCCCAGAACACGGUUUAGGUCGCCCAAAACUGAGUGUUGAAUUUAACUAAAACUGGAAGCCAAUUCGGAUCCUAUGUUCCGGGAGCCCAGAAGUGAGUCCGGAAAUUUUACAUCGUGAAUAUCGUUUGUGUUGACACGUGGCGGGUGGUAGGUGAGGUCCGCCGGAGCUGUUUACGGGCACAGCACACCGCGAGCGGAGAGUCCGAGGAGGAAGAUUUGUGAAGCCUGGAGGUUUCGGGCGCUCAGAAUUGGGUUUCGGGCGCCCAGAAAUGCCCGUUUCUGCAGGGACACCAGGUUAGCAGCUUUUGAACCUGGGGCUUAUUUUAUCCUUUCAGCACCCUAUAAAUAGGGGGAGCAUGACCUCAGUGAAGCCUUUUCAUCCAUUCUUCACAGUGAACCCUUAAAUUGCAUUUCCAACCCCCAAAUCUACUCAAAUUGCUUCAAGAUCCACAACUCCAAGCUUGAUAGGUGCUGAUUCUGCAGUUCUUCAGCGACGACCUCCAGUGUUUUGGCUCGUACACGAUGUAGGAAGGUCGGAUCGCGGUGAAACUUGGUUGGCUGGAUUCUAGACUUCCAGAGGAAUCCAUGAAGCCCUGAAUUGCAGAUUUUGGUUGAGGUUAGCUUGGUCGAACUGAGAUUUUUCUGGAAUACUAUUGACAUUGAGCUGAAAAUGAGAUUUUUGAGCUUUUCUUGAUGCUAUCUUUGUAGGCAGUGGGAUUUUGGACUUGAGACACAUUCUCCAUUAUUAUUCACUGGAUUUGAGACCUUCCUCACCUGAUUUGGAGGUAAUUGGGUGAGUUUUGACAUUACGAUAGGGAUUAAAUUAAGCUUUAGUGCUGAAAUUGUGAUAAUUGAUGGAAUUCAAUGUGUAGAGCUUGGAGAUAGCUUGAUUACUGGUCUUGGAGGAUUUCGGUUGAUCUAGCAGGGAUUAGCAUUGGUUCGGGACCUUCUUUACUGACAGGUUUAGUAAUUAAGGUGGGUGUAUCAUCGAUUUUUACUUCUAAGUACAUGUUAGUCGACGUGUAUGAUUUGCGGCUAUUGUUAUCUUGUUGUAGCUCAAAUUCAUCGAUGAGUAUGAUAUAAAAAUCUGAAUUUGGAGCAUGCUUAGUAAUUAGAUAAAUUAUACAUGUCGGACUUGGAACUUGACUUAGGAGAGAACCAGUGUUUUGACCCGUCAUAUGCUUCUACUACCUGAUUUAGCUCUAAGAGCCGUGGUUUGAUUGUAUCACCGCUGUUUCAGCGCGGUGGAUACCCGGGAUAGUUUAGAAUGCAUUUACGCUCGUGCUGGGACGCCGAGCUUAUUUUUACAGCAGAGUCUAGACUGUUUCCGGUUGUCGGGUGCCGUUGGGGUGGACGGUGGACCCAGAUCCCUGUUUUUUGAUAUCAGAUUGUGCCGAGAGCACGUGGGUUCGGUUUCUAGACCUGUUUUGACCAUAGUUAUUUAUCUUUGGCUGGUUAGAGCCUGAUUGAGCUUGACAGAGAUACGCUUGCAUACUCGAUUGUGUAGCGCCCACGAGUGCCACUCCGGAGUUCGGCUUAGUGCUUUUGCGUUGUUGCCGUUCGUGCAGGUUGGACUUGCUCUCCACAGACUUGUUAGUGUGGAGGUAGCUGGUUAGUUGCAACCUGGCGGGACGUGUGUGUUCAUAGUCCCAGGGACGGGUAUGAUUACAGUUCCUAUUCGAGAUUUGGUCUAAGUUUGCACUGUUCUACAGUUGGUUAGAUUAUAGCCUGAUAGUAUAGAGGCAGAUAGCCGUAGAUAUGUUCCAGCUUUCCUUACUAUUUCUUGCUUACCCCUGUAGACUUAUUGGGUGGACCGAUGAGUUCAGGGCGGUACCCAUUGAGGACUACUUCUUUUUGUAGUAGUUCUCGCGCCCAGUUUGUUUCCACUGUUUUGCAGAGCCAUCGUCUUCGGCUGCUGCUGUCGCUCAUAUUGAUCGUGGCAAGGGCGUCGCGAGUUAGAGCCCUUCCAAUCGAGUUGCUGAGCUAGUAGAGGGCCGCUGCAGGUAGUGUAGUGUUGGUUUAUAUAUACAGAUGUUGUACUCUCGCCAGUGCGAGUGCUUUUGUAUCUUGGAUCUUAUGUAUAUAUAGAACCACAGUUUAUAUAUGCAUGUUUUAUUCUUCUCUCCUAGCUGCUCUAUACUACUGUCUGUAGUAUUGUAUGAUUAUAGGUACUUUUACUUUCGCUUCGUAUACAGAGAAAAUACCAAUGUAUAAGGCGGGUCUGUUAGCGAGCCCGGGGAAACGAGUAAUCCGGGGCGUGACAGAUUAAGUUGGUAUCAGAGCUUAGCUGUAGGUCGUUGGGAUCUAGGAACCCUAAGUCUGGCAAACCUUAGGAAGGCAAGACGUGAGAGGGGUGAUUUAUCACGAAAGUCAAUAAUUCGUUAUUCUAACUCCUCCUAGAGUGGAGUGAGUGAUUGGAGGAGUUCCUGUUUUGGUCUGAGAAAUUAUGUUGGCUGCAGACGACAUCAUUUUGAGGAGAAACAAGAGCCGCCUUCUAGACUUUCGUUUGAUUGGGUCGAGAGUGUUUUUAUUGUAUCUGACCUCUGUUUUGUUCUUUACAGCUAUGUAUCGUCGCCGAGGUUGACCGUCGCUCAGAGAUCGUGCCGCACCGCCUGAGAUGCCCGAGCAGGUAGAGCCGAGUGCACCACCUGAGGCGAGUGCACCCCCUGCUGUGGAGCAUAGGGCCCGACCCGAGGUGGGUGUACCUCCUGAUUUGAGUCCGCAGAUAACCGCCCUGACUGAGGUGAUGAGGCAGCAGGGGGAGUUGCUACAGAGGAUGUGCGAGAGGUUAGCUCCGUCACUGAGUACAGUACCAAGAGCACCUGAGCAGGCCGUUUCACCUUCGACUACUCCAGUGACCGCACCAGCCGCAGCUAUGCUCCCACCAGUGGAGCUCCCUACAGUGCCAGUUGCGCCCGCUAGGGGAUCAGUACAGUUGAUUGAGGCCGAGUAGGAGCGAAUGACUGAGCGGUUGGCUCAUUUUCGCCAUUUUGAUCCACCAACCUUCGACGACGGUUGCAUUGAGGCCUGGGUUGUUGAGGGCUGGGUCAGUGCGAUGGAGAAGCUGUUCGAGGAUCUAUUCGUGCCUGAGAGGGAGCAGGUGUCUUUGGGAGUACACUGCUUAACUGGCGAUGCUCACGCCUGGUGGAGGAGAGUGAGGCGAGGCUAUGGAUUAGUGGCGUUGCAGCUGAAGUGGGACGAGUUCUGUGGAAUGCUGUUCGGGAUGUAUUUUCCCAACAGCAUGAAACAGAAGCUCGAGGAGGAUCUGAAGAGGAUUCAACAGGGCGAGCGUACAGUCCAGGAGUAAAUUUGGGAGUUCACUCGACUCCUGAACUGUGUACCGUUCGUGGCCAGGGAUGAGGCGCAUAGAGUCUAUCUAUUCGAGUAGGGAUUGAGACCCGAGAUCUUUCGAUUGGUGCAGGCGCAGAGGUUGAGGACCUUGGACGCGUCGAUGGAGCAUGCUCUUUGGGUAGAGAGAGGUGAUGCCUCCAUUUGGGAGAGGACUCAGGCCAUGUGGCAGAGUCAGGACAGAAAGCGUCCCUUUUUAGAUAAUGCUGGACAAUCGAGCAGCAGUCGUCCGUGGAGACCACCACGAUCACGCUCUCAGGGUCGUGGGUUUUCGGGGCGUCAGUGUUCCAGAGGAUCCUGUCAACAGGGACAGACCGAGAGGACACCGCAGUGUGUGAUUUGCGGGGGACCACAUUGGCCCCGACAGUGCGAGCAGAGAGAAGGCCGUUGCUACACUUGCGGUCAACCCGGGCAUAUGAGGUCAGCUUGUCCUCGUGCAGCAUCACCAGCACCAUCCAUUGCAUCAGCGCAGCCGGCAUCCCAGCAGUCCUUUGGAGCAGCACCGAGUUUCCGCCAGGAGGACAUAUCGUUUGUGCCGCGUCAGGCUGAGCGGCGACAACGGGCUCCGAGUGGCAGAGUUUACGCAGCUCAAGUGGAGGAUUCUUUAGCAGCCGACCGAGUGGUGGCAGGUAUCAUUUUGAUUUCAGGCAUUCGUACUCGUACUCUUUUUGAUACUCGUGACUCGCAUUCUUUUGUUAGCCGAGCAUUUGCAUUGUUGCAUGGUCUAGAGUUAGGGUCUUUGUCAGAGACACGAGAGGUGGAGAUCCCCGACCAUGUUUUACAGGUUGCAGAGUGUUGUUGGUCAUGUUAGGUGCAGUUAGAUUCUUAGAUCAUGCCCGCAGACCUGUUGGUGUUAGGGCAGCUGCAGGACUUUGAUGUAGUGCUAGGUAUGGAUUGGCUGGCGCGGUACUAUGCUACUAUCGACUGUGGAGAGAUAACUGUGACGUUCCGCGAGCCAGGCAAGGAGAAGUUCACUUUCAGAGGCUGCAGGAGUACUUUGUUUGCCACUUGGAUAUCUUCGGCGAGGGCUCGACAACUGAUGAGUAAAGGAUGCGUUGCUUUUCUGGCGACUGUGACAGAGGUGCCUACGGCGGCGCCGGGACUCGAGGAUAUCCCUAUAGUCCGCGAGUUUCCGGACGUGUUUUCCCCGGAGUUGACGACGAUGCCACCGGAGAGGGAGAUAGAGUUUGUGAUUGAUGUAGUUCCUGGAACUGCACCAAUCUCAAAGGCACCUUACAGGAUGGCACCGGCAGAGCUGAGAAAGCUAAAGGCGCAGCUUCAGGAUUUGAUGGAUAAGGGGUUUGUGAGACCCAGUGUGUCGCCUUGGGGAGCGCCGGUAUUGUUUGUAAAGAAGAAGGAUAGUUCGCUCAGGUUGUGUGUAGAUUAUCAGGAGCUAAAUAAGGUGACCAUCAAGAAUAAGUAUUCUUUGCCGCGCAUUGAUGAUCUGUUUAAUCAGCUGUAAGGAUCUUAUGUCUUCUCAAAGAUUGACCUCCAGUCAGGUUACCACCAGUUGAGGGUGAGGGCCGAGGAAGUUUCCAAGACGGCUUUUCGGACUCGGUACGGGCAUUAUGAGUUUACGGUGAUGCCGUUUGGAUUGACGAAUGCCUCUGCCGCAUUCAUGGAUUUGAUGAACAGAGUGUUCAAGCCGUUCAUGGAUAGGUUUGUGGUAGUCUUCAUUGAUGAUAUUCUGAUAUACUCCCGGAGCGAUGCCGAGCAUGAGAAGCACUUGAGGUCUGUGCUAUAGCUUCUGCGAGUGAAGAAGUUGUAUGCCAAGUUAAAGAAGUGCAAGUUCUGGUUGCGGGAGGUUACUUUCUUGGGCCACGUGAUAUCUGCGGUUGGAGUGGCAGUGGACCCGAAGAAGAUUGAUGCUAUUUGGGAUUGGCCGAGACCGACGACGGUGACAGAGGUGAGGAGUUUCCUUGGGCUUGCUGGUUAUUAUCGUCGGUUUGUGGAAGGCUUUGCGAAGCUUUCCACACCACUCACUCGACUGACUCGUAAAGGAAUUAAAUUCAUUUGGAGUGAGGACUGUCAGAGGAGCUUUGAUGAGUUGAGACAGAGGUUGACGUCACUUCCUAUCCUUGUCCUUCUUGUGAUGGGGGAAGGAUUUGUGAUCUACAGUGAUGCAUCGCACAGCGGGUUGGGCUGUGUAAUGAUGCAGCAUGGUAGGGUAAUUGCUUAUACUUUACGGCAGUUAAAGGAUUACGAGAACAAUUACCCUACCCAUGACUUAGAGCUUGCCGCGAUAGUCUUUGCUUUAAAGUUGUGGCAGCAUUACUUGUAUGGCGAGCACUGCGAGGUUUUCACCGAUCAUAAAAGUCUCAAGUAUCUGUUCACCCAGAGGGAGUUGAACCUGAGGCAGCGCCGGUGGUUGGAGUUAUUGAAGGACUAUGACAUUAAUAUUCAGUAUCAAAUGUGGUGGCAGAUGCGUUGAGCAGGAGGGCAGUGCAGAGCUUGAACAUGUCGGUCACUCAGCAGGGGCCGUUACUCAAGGAGCUGCAGCGGCUUAGGCUCAAGAUAGUGUCCCCUGGAUCUACUGCGAGACUGAUGUCUGUGGUUUUGCAGCCCACUCUGUUGGAUAGGAUCCGACAGAAACAGAGUGGAGAUCCACACUUGUCGAGGAUUCGAGAGCGGUCUGAGAGGGGACAUACUGAGGGCUUUGUUGUGGACAGUUCGGGAGUACUGCGGUACAGGGACCGACUGUGUGUACCUAUAGAUUCAGAGAUCCGAGAGGACAUUUUGAGAGAGGCUCACUGUUCACCUUAUACGGUUCACCCUGGUGGAACCAAGAUGUAUAAGGACUUAAAGGCCCAGUUUUGGUGGAAUGGAAUGAAGAGGGACAUUGACAGAUUUGUGGCUCAGUGUCUGACUUGUCAACAGGUAAAGGCUGAGCAUCAGGUACCUGCUGGCAAUUUUCAGAGUCUGUCAGUGCCCGAGUGGAAAUGGGAGCAGAUCACGAUGGACUUUGUCGUGGGGUUGCCUAGAGCUCAGGGUGGUUUCGAUGCUAUUUGGGUGAUAGUGGACAGACUGACUAAGUCUGCUCACUUCCUACCAGUUCAGACCACAUGGUCCAGGGAGAUGCUCGCUCAACUAUAUCUAGAUGAGAUAGUGAGGUUGCAUGGUGUGCCCACUUCGAUAGUAUCAGAUCGAAACCUGAGGUUCGUCUCGUACUUUUGGAGGAGUCUUCAUAUGGCCUUGGGCACUCAAUUGCAAUUCAGCACAGCGUUUCACCCACAGACAGAUGGUCAGUCAGAGCGGACCAUUCAGACUCUUGAGGACAUGCUGAGGGCAUGUGUCCUGUACUUUGGAGGAGGGUGGUAUCGACAUUUGAGAGUUGCUGAGAUUGCGUACAACAACAGCUAUCAAGCGAGCAUCCAGAUGGCUCCGUUUGAGGCGUUGUAUGGACGCAGAUGUCGAUCCCCUUUGUUUUGGAGCGAUGUGGGUGAGAGAAAAACGCUUGGGCCUGAGAUUCUAAUUGAGGCUGAGGAAAAGGUGAAAGUGGUGCGACGGCACAUUUUAGCAGGCCAGAGUCGGCGGAGGAGCUGUGCUGAUACCCGGAGAUGAGACUUGGAGUUUCAGGUGGGAGAUCAUGUGUUUCUUAAAGUCUCUCGUCUAGAGGAAUUUGCAGAUUUGGAGUACGUGGAAAGCUCAGUCCACGUUUUAUAGGCCCUUUUGAGGUAUUGGAGCGAGUCGGGCCAGUUCCUUAUAGGAUUGCUCUAUCUCCACGACUAGCCGGCAUCCACGAUGUUUUCCACGUCUCGGCCUUGAGGAGAUAUGUGUUCGACCCCUUCCACGUGAUAGACUUCACUCCGCUAGAGAUUUGCAAGGACUUGAGAUACGAGGAGCGACCGGUGUGGAUUUUGGCUCGUGAGUCAAGGGAAUUGCGCAACCGGGUCAUACCCUUUGUAAAGGUGCAGUGGAGUAAUCACGAGGAGCGGGAGGCGACUUGGGAUCCAGAGACGGUGAUGAGAGAGUCCUACCCCUACUUUUUUGAGGCUCAGGAUUGAGGUAUGUUUCAGUUUCGCGGACGAAAUAUUUUGUAAUAGGGGAGGAUGUAGUGUUUCUGAGCUUUGGAUAGGAUUGGCUUCAGUAUUAGUGAUUGGUCGACACAUCUGGAGAGUGUCGGACUGAGUCGGAGUCGUUUCUGUACGAAUUGGAUGCAGAAAUGAACUCAGCGCAUUCAAUUAAGCAAAACUAGAGUUUUGCCAGAUUCGGGCGCCCAGAAUAUGGUUUAGGUCGCCCAGAACUGAGUGCUGAAUUUAACUGAAACUGGAAGCCAAUUCGGAUCCUAUGUUCCGGGCGCCCAGAAGUGAGUCC